RNAcentral lists this ribosomal RNA (440 nucleotides) under uncultured bacterium. RNAcentral describes it as "partial 16S ribosomal RNA". It matches the Rfam family "Bacterial small subunit ribosomal RNA", at positions 338 to 795 of the family's 1533-position model. The record is from RNAcentral.
CCUACGGGUGGCAGCAGUAGGUAAUUUUGGGCAAUGGGCGGAACCCUGACCCAGCAACGCCGCGUGAGCGAAGAAGUUAUUCGUAAUGUAAAGCUCUAUCAGCCGGGAAGCAAAUUCCGGUACCUGAUUAAGAAGCACCGGACCACUACGUACCAGCAGCCGCAGGAUUACGCCGGGGGCUAGCGUUAUCCGGAUUUACUGGGUGUAAAGGGAGUGUAUGCGGUUCGCCAAGUCUGGAGUGAAGUGCCGGGGCUUAACUGGGGAACUGCUGUGGAAACUGGCUAACUAGAGUGGGGGAGGGGUAAGCGGAAUUCCUAGUGUAGCGGUGAAAUGCGUAGAUAUUAGGAGGAACACCGGUGGCGAAGGCGGCUUACUGGACCGUAACUGACGUUGAGGCGCGAAAGCGUGGGGAGCAAACAGGAUUAGAUACCCGUGUAGUC